RNAcentral lists this transfer RNA (66 nucleotides) under Bostrichoidea sp. 2 KM-2017. RNAcentral's name for it is "tRNA-Ser". It matches the Rfam family "tRNA". Rfam says of the family: Transfer RNA (tRNA) molecules are approximately 80 nucleotides in length. Their secondary structure includes four short double-helical elements and three loops (D, anti-codon, and T loops). Further hydrogen bonds mediate the characteristic L-shaped molecular structure. tRNAs have two regions of fundamental functional importance: the anti-codon, which is responsible for specific mRNA codon recognition, and the 3' end, to which the tRNAs corresponding amino acid is attached (by aminoacyl-tRNA synthetases). tRNAs cope with the degeneracy of the genetic code in two manners: having more than one tRNA (with a specific anti-codon) for a particular amino acid; and 'wobble' base-pairing, i.e. permitting non-standard base-pairing at the 3rd anti-codon position. Lineage: Eukaryota; Metazoa; Arthropoda; Insecta; Coleoptera. The record is from RNAcentral.
AGUUAAUGAACUUGUAAAGUAUAUGUUUUGAAAACAUAAAAAAGAAGUAAAACCUUCUAUUAACUU